GAAAUGCGAUAAGUAAUGUGAAUUGCAGAAUUCAGUGAAUCAUCGAAUCUUUGAACGCACAUUGCGCCCGCCAGUAUUCUGGCGGGCAUGCCUGUUCGAGCGUCAUUUCAACCAUCAAGCCCCCGGCUUGUGUUGGGGACCUGCGGCUGCCCGCAGGCCCUGAAAAACAGUGGCGGGCUCGCUGUCACACCGAGCGUAGUAGCAUACAUUCUCGCUCAGGGCGUGCUGCGGGUUCCGGCCGUUAAACGACCUUCAUAACCCAAUGUUGACCUCGGAUCAGGUAGGAAGACCCGCUGAACUUAAGC
RNAcentral lists this unclassified non-coding RNA (305 nucleotides) under plant metagenome. Its description in RNAcentral is "partial contains 5.8S ribosomal RNA, internal transcribed spacer 2, and large subunit ribosomal RNA". The stretch from base 1 to 105 matches the Rfam family "5.8S ribosomal RNA", at positions 50 to 154 of the family's 154-position model. The record is from RNAcentral.